GAAAGUUACUUCGGUACAUCGGUGACAGGUGGUGCAUGGUUGUCGUCAGCUCGUGUCGUGAGAUGUUGGGUUAAGUCCCGCAACGAGCGCAACCCCUAUUGUUAGUUGCCAUCAUUCAGUUGGGCACUCUAGCGAGACUGCCGGUAAUAAACCGGAGGAAGGUGGGGAUGACGUCAAAUCAUCAUGCCCCUUAUGACCUGGGCUACACACGUGCUACAAUGGUUGGUACAACGAGUUGCGAGUUGGUGACGGCGAGCUAAUCUCUUAAAGCCAAUCUCAGUUCGGAUUGUAGGCUGCAACUCGCCUACAUGAAGUCGGAAUCGCUAGUAAUCGCGGAUCAGCACGCCCGCGGUCGAGUACGUUCCCGGGCCUU
This 373-nucleotide ribosomal RNA is filed under the name uncultured Streptococcus sp. RNAcentral describes it as "bacterial SSU rRNA". It matches the Rfam family "Bacterial small subunit ribosomal RNA", at positions 1010 to 1382 of the family's 1533-position model. The record is from RNAcentral. Lineage: Bacteria; Bacillati; Bacillota; Bacilli; Lactobacillales; Streptococcaceae.